UCCUGACUACACUUCCACACAAGCGUUGACUGAGACGUUGUAACUGAGUUAACGGAUCAAACGGUUGGCACGUAACAAAAAUUGGCGCAGUCGGUAGGAUAUUCAAUAGAAGGCAAUUCCACAUCGGAACCAUCGAGGAGCUGAACAACUUGCAGUCCUUCAACUUCUCAACUUCCAUUGAAUAGCUGAUACUCCACCGGAUCAUUCAGUCAACAACAUGUCUUCAAUCAACAAUUGUUUGUACUUGUCCACUAAAAGUUUAACCAAGAUGGCGAUAGGACGAAGAACAAACAACCAAAAAUUAAAAAACCCAAACCAACGACACGGACACUUUCACACAAUGUUGGUCGGUGUGGCGCGGUCCGGUUAAUGUUGCGCGGUGCCGGUAAUUUAAAUAUGACGGUGUACAGUAAUCAACGACGGUGCGAUGGAACGGAAAUUAUUGUCGUGAACCCAGUUUCAAUAAUAAUACGCGGAUCAUUCUCCGCGGACCCCCCAUCAAAUAAACCAAACCAUUACGUGUUACCAGUGACGGAUCCAGACCAAGAUAACGGGGGGAGGGGAGGAUUUUCAACGGGCACACAUGAUAUAGUAUUAUCAGUGCCCAACAAGAGUAGUAUUAAAAUAACCUGACCGAAUUUAAAUAUUUGAAUACGUCCAGACCAUUCCAGGCGAUUUUGAGUCUAAUAAGUGGCUAAACCAUUUAUGGCUGAGUGUAUUGCUUGUUCAAAGUCUGCAUAAAUUAUAUUUGGUGCACAAUGUAAUGGAUUACGAAGUGGUAUUUACAGAUAAGAUAUUGAUGAGAAUCGAGAUUAUGUACGAGUUUAUCACCAAACAAUAUUCACAGUUGCUGAAAAACCCAUGGCCCAAGAAAACCGCGGAUGCAACUCGGAUAUGUCGUGACAAAACCGGAGAUGCAACUCGGACAAAAUAUCAUUUAUGGAUGCAAUUCGUAUGCGCCGGAGCGAUGGCAUAUAUAGAAAAUAUUUUAUAUAAAUUAUGUUAGAAUAAGUCAAAAUAUUAAGUAAUUA
Sipha flava (yellow sugarcane aphid) is the source of this 1031-nucleotide long non-coding RNA. RefSeq lists it as uncharacterized. The record is from RefSeq and is a predicted model, not a curated record. The transcript has 5 exons. Lineage: Eukaryota; Metazoa; Arthropoda; Insecta; Hemiptera; Aphididae.